RNAcentral lists this ribosomal RNA (547 nucleotides) under uncultured bacterium. Its description in RNAcentral is "bacterial SSU rRNA". It matches the Rfam family "Bacterial small subunit ribosomal RNA", at positions 355 to 896 of the family's 1533-position model. The record is from RNAcentral.
UGGGGAAUAUUGCGCAAUGGGGGGAACCCUGACGCAGCCAUGCCGCGUGAAUGAAGAAGGCCUUCGGGUUGUAAAGUUCUUUCGGUAUUGAGGAAGGUUGAUGUGUUAAUAGCAUAUCAAAUUGACGUUAAAUACAGAAGAAGCACCGGCUAACUCCGUGCCAGCAGCCGCGGUAAUACGGAGGGUGCGAGCGUUAAUCGGAAUAACUGGGCGUAAAGGGCACGCAGGCGGUUAUUUAAGUGAGGUGUGAAAGCCCUGGGCUUAACCUAGGAAUUGCAUUUCAGACUGGGUAACUAGAGUACUUUAGGGAGGGGUAGAAUUCCACGUGUAGCGGUGAAAUGCGUAGAGAUGUGGAGGAAUACCGAAGGCGAAGGCAGCCCCUUGGGAAUGUACUGACGCUCAUGUGCGAAAGCGUGGGGAGCAAACAGGAUUAGAUACCCUGGUAGUCCACGCUGUAAACGCUGUCGAUUUGGGGAUUGGGCUUAGAGCUUGGUGCCCGUAGCUAACGUGAUAAAUCGACCGCCUGGGGAGUACGGCCGCAAGGUUA